UACGUAGGGUGCGAGCGUUAAUCGGAAUUACUGGGCGUAAAGCGUGCGCAGGCGGCGUGUUAAGACAGGUGUGAAAGCCCCGAGCUUAACUUGGGAAUUGCGCUUGUGACUGGCGAGCUGGAGUGUGGCAGAGGGGGGUGGAAUUCCGCGUGUAGCAGUGAAAUGCGUAGAGAUGCGGAGGAACACCGAUGGCGAAGGCAGCCCCCUGGGCUAACACUGACGCUCAGGCACGAAAGCGUGGGGAGCAAACAGG
Molecule: ribosomal RNA, 253 nt
Filed under: uncultured bacterium
Lineage: Bacteria
Description: partial 16S ribosomal RNA
Rfam family: Bacterial small subunit ribosomal RNA
Source: RNAcentral